CCAGGACACCAGAAGGGAACUGGGCCCGUUAAAAAGAGAAAUCAAAUGGCAGACCAAGAAGCUAAAAAAGCAGCCCAAGGGCCAAUGACUCUGGUGGUGAGAACCCAACAGCCCGCUGCUGAGAAAAUAAAUAAAAGAACCCUCACAGAAGAAGAGGGGCGAGAUUACUUAGCUAACAUACACCAUCUGACUCAUUUAGGAACUAAAAAAUUACUAAAAUUGGUUAGUAAGUCCCCCUAUUACAUUCCUGGAUUAAAAGGAAUUGUGGAAGAGAUAGUAAAAAACUGCCGUGCUUGUGCACUUACCAACGCUGGGUCUAGCAGGCUCCAGAAAAGAAAACGACUGCGAGGAGACAGACCUGGAGCCUACUGGGAAACUGACUUCACUGAGGUGAAACCGGCUAGGUAUGGAAAUAAAUAUCUCCUAGUUUUUAUAGACACCUUUUCAGGAUGGGUCGAAGCGUUCCCCACCAAGAAAGAAACGGCUAAUGUAGUGGUCAAGAAGAUACUUGAAGAAAUCCUUCCCCGCUUUGGGAUACCUAAGGUAAUGGGGUCAGACAACGGACCUGCCUUCGUCUCCCAGGUAAGUCAGGGAUUGGCCAGACAACUGGGGACAAAUUGGAAAUUACAUUGUGCAUACAGACCCCAGAGUUCAGGACAGGUAGAAAGGAUGAACAGAACGCUAAAGGAGACUCUGACUAAAAUAGCCUUAGAAUCCGGCGGAAGCGAUUGGACAGCCGUUCUCCCUUAUGCCUUGUUCAGGGUUCGGAAUACACCUGGACCCCUUGGCCUAACUCCAUUUAAAUUAAUGUAUGGGGCGCCCCCACCCAUUUUUAUGACCGUAGGGGAUAAGAAUCGCCCGGAUGUGUCUUUCUCUCCUUCUUCUAGUCUUUUGGCUCGAUUAAAAGCUCUUAAAAUAGUAAGAAAAGAGGUCUGGGAACAGCUAAAAGAAACCUAUG
This 958-nucleotide long non-coding RNA is filed under the name Mus musculus (house mouse). Its description in RNAcentral is "Klgm4". The record is from RNAcentral. Lineage: Eukaryota; Metazoa; Chordata; Mammalia; Rodentia; Muridae.